This 709-nucleotide ribosomal RNA is filed under the name Globisporangium intermedium. Its description in RNAcentral is "partial 28S rRNA". It matches the Rfam family "Eukaryotic large subunit ribosomal RNA", at positions 81 to 618 of the family's 3401-position model. The record is from RNAcentral. Lineage: Eukaryota; Oomycota; Peronosporomycetes; Pythiales; Pythiaceae.
UAGUAACGGCGAGUGAAGCGGGAUGAGCUCAAGCUUAAAAUCUCUGUGCCAGUUUGGCAUGGCGAAUUGUAGUCUAUAGAGGCGUUGUCAGUGCGGCUGUGCGGGGUAAGUUCCUUGGAAGAGGACAGCAUCGAGGGUGAUACUCCCGUUUGUACCUGUGCGGCUUGCGCGUACGACACGUUUUCUUCGAGUCGCGUUGUUUGGGACUGCAGCGCAAAGUAGGUGGUAAAUUCCAUCUAAAGCUAAAUAUUGGUGCGAGACCGAUAGCGAACAAGUACCGUGAGGGAAAGAUGAAAAGAACUUUGAAAAGAGAGUUAAAGAGUACCUGAAACUGCUGAAAGGGAAGCGAAUCGUAUCCAGUGUCUAUAAUCUGCGGCAUAUUUCAUUGGCGGCGGUGUGCGUGCUUUUGCGUCGGAAGCGGCUUUUGUUGCUCUGUGCUUUUGCUGUGCGUGCUGUUGCUGGUGCCCUGUGUUGCGGUGGGACGUCAGAGUCAGUUUGCAUGCUGCGGGAAAUGGCUGCCGAGGAGGUAGGUCAGGAUUUCGGUCUUGGCUGUUAUAUCUUGGUGGUUUGUUGUCGUGGUUGAGACUGAGGUGCCUACAAUGUGCUUUUGAGUGUGCCGGGUUCUCAUUUGGUGGACUGUUUGGAUAGCUUGCUAUGCUUGUGGUUUUUUCAUCGGGUGAUUGAGUCUGGUGGUAACUUAUUGCCGUUC